RNAcentral lists this ribosomal RNA (253 nucleotides) under uncultured bacterium. RNAcentral describes it as "partial 16S ribosomal RNA". It matches the Rfam family "Bacterial small subunit ribosomal RNA", at positions 524 to 776 of the family's 1533-position model. The record is from RNAcentral.
UACAGAGGUCUCAAGCGUUGUUCGGAUUCAUUGGGCGUAAAGGGCGCGUAGGCUGCGGGGCAAGUCGGGUGUGAAAUCUCAGAGCUCAACUCUGAAACUGCACUCGAUACUGCUUUGCCCGAGGACUGGAGAGGAGAUUGGAAUUCACGGUGUAGCAGUGAAAUGCGUAGAUAUCGUGAGGAAGACCAGUGGCGAAGGCGGAUCUCUGGACAGUUCCUGACGCUGAGGCGCGAAGGCCAGGGGAGCAAACGGG